This 119-nucleotide ribosomal RNA is filed under the name Oncorhynchus mykiss (rainbow trout). The record is from RNAcentral. Lineage: Eukaryota; Metazoa; Chordata; Actinopteri; Salmoniformes; Salmonidae.
GCUUACGGCCACACCGGCCUGAGUACAACUGAUCUCGUCUGAUCUCGGAAGCUAAGCAGGGUCGGGCCUGGUUAGUACUUGGAUGGGAGACCGCCUGGGAAUACCAGGUGCUGUAAGCU